Motacilla alba alba is the source of this 453-nucleotide non-coding RNA. NCBI's taxonomy places the organism in Eukaryota, Metazoa, Chordata, Aves, Passeriformes, Motacillidae. The record is from the annotation of a RefSeq genome assembly.
AUGAUCCACAUCCCGGCCUCAGCCUCAAGCCCCCUCCUGCUCCUGGUCAAUCCGGCCCUGCUGGCCCUCCCAGGGCUCCGGGCGGCCGUGACCCUGCUGGAGUCCGGGGGGGACCUCCAGCCCCCCGGGGGGUCCCUGCGCCUCCUCUGCCGAGCCUCCGGCUUUGAUUUCAAGAGCUACGACAUGUUCUGGAUCCGCCAGAGACCCGGGCAGGCGCUGGAAUACGUGGCAAUGAUCAACUACGAUGGUGUCUACAGCGAAUACGCGCCCUCGGUCAAGGACCGGGUCACGAUGUCCAGGGACAACGGGCAGAGCUCGGUGACGCUGACCAUGAGCAGCCUCCAGGACGAGGAUUCCGGAUCCUAUUUCUGUGCCAAAGCUGCUGGUGGUCACGAUGUUAAGAGUGCUGCUGAUUAUUUUGACGCCGUCCCUGCCCCCGUGUCCCAGCCCUGA